AGUCAAGUAAUUAAGUGCAUGUGGUGGAUGCCUUGGCAGUCAGAGGCGAUGAAAGACGUGAUAGCCUGCGAAAAGCUCCGGGGAGGCGGCAAAUAUCCUUUGAUCCGGAGAUGUCUGAAUGGGGGAACCCACCUACUUUAAGGUAGGUAUUGCAACAUGAAUACAUAGUGUUGCAAGGCGAACGAGGGGAAGUGAAACAUCUCAGUACCCUUAG
This 214-nucleotide ribosomal RNA is filed under the name Acinetobacter baumannii. Its description in RNAcentral is "partial 23S ribosomal RNA". It matches the Rfam family "Bacterial large subunit ribosomal RNA", at positions 1 to 215 of the family's 2925-position model. Lineage: Bacteria; Pseudomonadati; Pseudomonadota; Gammaproteobacteria; Moraxellales; Moraxellaceae. The record is from RNAcentral.